GACAGAGGUGGCAAGCGUUGUUCGGAAUUACUGGGCGUAAAGGGCGCGCAGGCGGCCGAGUACGUCAGACGUGAAAUCCCCAGGCUUAACUUGGGAACUGCGUCUGAUACUGGGAGGCUUGAGUGCGGGAGAGGGAUGUGGAAUUCCAGGUGUAGCGGUGAAAUGCGUAGAUAUCUGGAGGAACACCGGUGGCGAAGGCGGCAUCCUGGACCGGCACUGACGCUGAGGCGCGAAAGCUAGGGGAGCAAACGGG
RNAcentral lists this ribosomal RNA (253 nucleotides) under uncultured bacterium. RNAcentral's name for it is "partial 16S ribosomal RNA". It matches the Rfam family "Bacterial small subunit ribosomal RNA", at positions 524 to 776 of the family's 1533-position model. The record is from RNAcentral.